Molecule: ribosomal RNA, 1376 nt
Filed under: uncultured Desulfurococcales archaeon
Lineage: Archaea; Thermoproteati; Thermoproteota; Thermoprotei; Desulfurococcales
Description: 16S ribosomal RNA
Rfam family: Archaeal small subunit ribosomal RNA
Source: RNAcentral
UUCCGGUUGUACCUGCCGGACCCGACUGCUAUCGGGGUGGGACUAAGCCAUGCGAGUCAGCGCCCCUAGCCACGGUGGGGCGCGGCGUACGGCUCCGUAAAACACGGCUAACCUACCCUCAGGACAGGGAUAACCUCGGGAAACUGAGGCUAAUCCCUGAUAGAUGAGGGACCCUGGAACGCUCCCUCAUCUAAAGGAUCCCAAGACCAUGCUCUUGGGAUCGCCUGAGGAUGGGGCCGUGGCCUAUCAGGUUGACGGUGAGGUAACGGCUCACCGUGCCUAUAACGGGUACGGGCCGUGAGAGCGGGAGCCCGGAGAUGGGCACUGAGACAAGGGCCCAGGCCCUACGGGGCGCAGCAGGCGCGAAACCUCCGCAAUGCGCUAACGCGCGACGGGGUCACCCCGAGUGCCAGCCGCUGAGGCUGGCUUUUCCCCAGUGUAAAAAGCUGGGGGAAUAAGCGGGGGGCAAGUUCUGGUGUCAGCCGCCGCGGUAAUACCAGCUCCGCGAGUGGUCGGGGCGUUUAUUGGGCCUAAAGCGUCCGUAGCCGGCCCAGUAAGUUCCUCCUUAAAUCCCAUGGCUCAACCAUGGGGCUGGGAGGAAUACUACUGGGCUAGGGGGCGGGAGAGGCCGAGGGUAUUCCCGGGGUAGGGGCGAAAUCCUAUAAUCCCGGGAAGACCACCAAUGGCGGAGGCACUCGGCCAGAACGCGCCCGACGGUGAGGGACGAAAGCCAGGGGAGCAAAAGGGAUUAGAGACCCCUGUAGUCCUGGCUGUAAACGAUGCGGGCUAGGUGUUGGUGAGCUUCGGGCUCAGCCAGUGCCGCAGGGAAGCCGUUAAGCCCGCCGCUUGGGGAGUNCGGCCGCAAAGGCUGAAACUUAAAGGAAUUGGCGGGGGAGCACCUCAAAGGGGUGGAGGCUGCGGUUCAAUUGGAGUCAACCCCGGGAACCUUACCAGGGGCGACAGCAGGAUGAGGGCCAGGCUAACGACCUUGCCCGACGCGCUGAGAGGAGGUGCAUGGCCGUCGCCAGCUCGUGCCGUGAGGCGUCCGGUUAAGUCCGGUAACGAGCGAGACCCUCGUCUCCAGUUGCGACCAGGACCCAUUGGGUCCUGGGCACACUGGAGAGACUGCCAGCGCUAAGCUGGAGGAAGGAGGGGGCUACGGCAGGUCAGUAUGCCCCGAAACCCCUGGGCUACACGCGGCCUGCAAUGGUGGGGACAAUGGGUUCCGAACCCGAAAGGGGGAGGUAAUCCCAUAAAACCCCACCUCAGUUGGGAUCGAGGGCUGCAACUCGCCCUCGUGAACGUGGAAUCCCUAGUAACCGCGUGUCAUCAUCGCGCGGUGAAUACGUCCCUGCUCCUUGUACACACCGCCCGUC